Molecule: long non-coding RNA, 2722 nt
Filed under: Homo sapiens (human)
Lineage: Eukaryota; Metazoa; Chordata; Mammalia; Primates; Hominidae
Description: HSALNT0115680
Source: RNAcentral
AGACUCCGCGGGCUAAACUCAGGGGCAAGCACAAGCUAAGGGCUCUCAGAGCGGGAUGUGUGUGGGAAUGCCCGCUCCAGAGCAAGCCAGGGUCCGGGGUUAACUCACCCCGACGCCCGCACCUCACCACAGCACAUCUUACCUUUAACCAGGAAAAGCCGGUCAUUCGUGGACCCCGGAGCCUCCAGCCCAGAGGCCGGCUGCCCAGUUGCAGCGCCCGCUGUCUCCAUGUUUAGGUCGCCUCUAGUGCGUCCGUCCCCAACUGGGCCCGGGUGGAAGCGAGAACCAGGCGGAGGAGAAAGGUUCCGCUACCGCCUCCUCCUGUGCAAUCUGAAGAAGGGUCCGGAGUGCGGCCGCUGUCCCCAAACCCUCCUCCCGCGCCGGGGCCGGGAAGACGUGCUGUGCCCAGCCCCAGGGGCGAUGCCCUCCAAGGCCGUCUCUUAGGGAGGAUCUUUUGAUUUCUCCAAGGAGAUCAUUGCUGGACUUAAGUGAUUACUUUGGCUGUUUGAAAGAACGCUCAGCCCCGACUGUAGGAGGCAGUGAGGGUCGCAGAUUGCGCCAAGAUUCCAGGCCCCGCCUGUGAGACCCUGGAGCUCAUUUUCCUGAUCAAGCUUACAUUGUGUCCAACGAUUUGGCCAGCGCUAACACUCCACGAUUCUAAAACGCAAGCCUAGGUCUUCUGUCUGUACUUUUCUAGGUAACUUCCCAACAGUGUUGAGGAAUAAGUGACAGGCUUUCUCCCUGGAGGAGAGCCAGCCACCCGGUUCUGCGGUGACGGGUACCUCCGCCGCGGUGUGAGUGCUCGGCCUCCGUCGGGAAGUGGAACACUCACAGGAUGACCGAAUGAAAGUACCACCCCCGAAAGGAGAGCGACGCCCGCUGGAAGCGCUUGCAGAGCUGCCGGCAACGUUGACCGCUAGCAAGCUUGGUCUUCCGCUGGGAGGCUGGUUUGCCCAUUCUGUAAAUGGCCGUGGAGAGGAGGAGGCUAGUGGUGAUAGAAAAUCUUUUCAGCCUCUCAGAGAACAAUGACAUCUUGUAAAAUAAGGCGGUCUCUCUGCUAUUUGUCCUGCCCCCCAUCACCGGAGGGCAUGAGUUUCCUGAGGAUGGAGAUGGGACUCUAUGUUCAGUUUAUAUCCCCCAGCUUUCAGAUAUUAACUGGUUACCAACAUCAAAUGCAUGUUGGAUGAAUGAGUAAAUGAAUGCAUCCAUUUUUGCGUCAGUGAAGUGCAGUUAAUAGCUCAAACCUGGGCUCGGGUCCUAAACCGCUUCUCAGGUGUGUGAACUUGGGGUAACUUAGCCCCUCUAUAGCUCAGUUUCCUCACCUGUAAAAUUUAAAAACUGGUAGUAGGCCAGGCGCGGUGGUUCACGCCUGUAAUCCCAGCACUUUGGGAGGCUGAGGCAGGUGGAGAUCAGAAGUUCGAGAUCAGCCUGGCCAACAUGGUGAAACCCCGUUUCUACUAAAAAUACAAAAAUUAGCGGAGUCUAAUGAUGCGGGACUGUAAUCCCAGCUACUCGGGAGGCUGAGGCAGGAGAAUGGCUUGAACCUGGGAGGGAGAGGUUGCAGUGAGCCGAGAUCGAGCCGUUGCACUCCAGCCUGGAUGACAAGAGUGAAACUCUGCCAUCCACCCCAUCCCGCCCCCCCCACACACAAAAACUGAUAGUACCUAACUCAUAGGAUUACUGUGAGAAUUAAAUGAAGCAACAUCUAUAAAGAAGUUAGCACAGUGCCUGGCACAUAUAAAUAUUCAAUACAUGUUAGCUCUAACUAUUACCACCUUUGAUUCCAGUAGCUAUUUUGCAGCAUUGCCUAUGGGGAUUUUUAAAAAUGAUGGAUUAUCAAGGUCUAUCUACCACGGGAGAUUAGAGCUCUGAAGGCCCGCGGGUGGCAGGGCAGAAUGUAAAAGCUCCGUGGGGUUUCUGAUGAUAAAAAACUACUGCUCUGUUCAAAUUUUUGUGUGGAUGAGAUCACACAGAAUGUAUGUGACCUUUGGAUUUCCUGGAAACACGUCAGUAUCUGAAAGGGCUUUUAAGCUGGUAAAUGCUGUGCUAAUUUGUUGAAGGACCUAUCCUUUUUCCUUCCCCUCAUACAUAACAGUAACCAUAGCUGCUAACAUGUAUUGAGUGCUUUCUAUAUAUCUGACAUUGCACUAAGUGCUUCAAGUACAUUAUCUCAUUUAUUCCUCUCCAUAAACUCAGAAAGACUAACUUGCUCAAGCUCACACAGCUGUUAAGUGGCAGAGACAGGGCUUAAAAGCAGGUCCUUCCUUAUCCACUGUGCCAGUCGUCCUCAAGUGUGAACUUGAAUAUUGGAAUCACCUGGAAGGCUUAUUGCACUCAGCUUGCUGGGCCCCAUUCCCAGAGUCUGUGACUCAGUGGGGGCUGAGAACGUGUAUGUCUAAGUUCCCAGGUGAUGCUGUUGCCACGGAUUCCACUUCGAGAACAUCUUCUGUGUGCCUUCCUCUUAUGGAUUACACCUCUUAAAAUCCACACCAUACACUUUAGCACUUGGAAAUCUGUUUUCCCAAGACUGCUUAGGGAGAAAAAGUGCAGAUUCCUCCACUCUCUUCUUUGCUGUCCCCUUAGAAAACGACAGAAACAUUUUAAGGAUUAAGCUGGGCACAGUGGCUCAAACCUGUAAUCCUAGUGCUUUGGGAGGUCGAGGCAGGCAGAUCACUUGAGGUCAGGAGUUUGAGACCAGCCUGGCUAACAUGGCGAAACCCCA